ACACCAGACUCCUACGGGAGGCAGCAGUGGGGAAUAUUGCACAAUGGGGGAAACCCUGAUGCAGCGACGCCGCGUGAGUGAAGAAGUAUCUCGGUACGUAAAGCUCUAUCAGCAGGGAAGAAAAUGACGGUACCUGACUAAGAAGCCCCGGCUAACUACGUGCCAGCAGCCGCGGUAAUACGUAGGGGGCAAGCGUUAUCCGGAUUUACUGGGUGUAAAGGGAGCGUAGACGGCAGCACAAGUCUGGAGUGAAAGCCCGGGGCUUAACCCCGGAACUGCUUUGGAAACUGUGCGGCUGGAGUGCAGGAGGGGUAAGCGGAAUUCCUAGUGUAGCGGUGAAAUGCGUAGAUAUUAGGAGGAACACCGGUGGCGAAGGCGGCUUACUGGACUGUAACUGACGUUGAGGCUCGAAAGCGUGGGGAGCAAACAGGAUUAGAUACCCCAGUA
Molecule: ribosomal RNA, 447 nt
Filed under: uncultured bacterium
Lineage: Bacteria
Description: bacterial SSU rRNA
Rfam family: Bacterial small subunit ribosomal RNA
Source: RNAcentral